UGUAAGCGUAUACCAAAGUUGUUGCAGUUAAAACGCUCGUAGUCGGAAUUUGGCAGUUCCGGAUGUGUGCACGUCGUGUGCGCACUUCGCGGGGAUUGCUUUUGUGGUCUUGCGUAGGAUGAGGCACUUUUAUUAGUGAACGUCCUCACGCGACCACUUUUUACUGUGAGAAAAUCAGAGUGCUCAAAGCAGGCAUUUGCCGUGAAUGUAUUAGCAUGGAAUAAUAGAAUAGGACUUGGUUCUAUUUUGUUGGUUUGUUGGGACUGAGUAAUGAUUAAGAGGGACAGUUGGGGGCAUUUGUAUUUCGGCGCUAGAGGUGAAAUUCUUAGAUUGCCGAAAGACAAACUGCUGCGAAAGCGUCUGCCAAGGAUGUUUUCAUUGA
RNAcentral lists this ribosomal RNA (382 nucleotides) under uncultured eukaryote. RNAcentral's name for it is "partial 18S ribosomal RNA". It matches the Rfam family "Eukaryotic small subunit ribosomal RNA", at positions 592 to 976 of the family's 1831-position model. The record is from RNAcentral.